RNAcentral lists this ribosomal RNA (420 nucleotides) under Tupigea maza. RNAcentral describes it as "partial 16S ribosomal RNA". It matches the Rfam family "Archaeal large subunit ribosomal RNA", at positions 1921 to 2657 of the family's 2987-position model. The record is from RNAcentral. Lineage: Eukaryota; Metazoa; Arthropoda; Arachnida; Araneae; Pholcidae.
UUCUUUAAGAUAUUUUUUAAAGUAAAACCUGCUCCAUGUAAAAUAAAUAGCCGCAGUUUACUGUGCUAAGGUAGCAUAAUCAUUAGCUCUAUAAUUAAGAGAUAGAAUGAAAGGUUAAACGUAAUUUUUACUGUCUUCUAAACCCUUCAUUAAUUUUAUUCUCUGGUUAAAAAUCCAGUCUACAGCAAUAGGACGACAAGACCCUAAUAAACUCUCUCAUUUCGCUGGGGCGGCGUUACAAAAAAACCUUAUCAUUAACUUCCCUCAAAUCUAUUACUAAUAAUUAAGAUAUAGUUACUAUAGGGAUAACAGCGUUACUUCUUUCUAAAGUUCAAAUUCAAAAAGAAAUCUACGACCUCGAUGUUGAAUUAAUCAUUCUUUUACAAAGCAAGAUUUUAAAAAGAUAGCCUGUUCGUCUAU